CCUACGGGAGGCUGCAGUGAGGAAUAUUGGUCAAUGGACGAGAGUCUGAACCAGCCAAGUAGCGUGAAGGAUGACUGCCCUAUGGGUUGUAAACUUCUUUUAUAUGGGAAUAAAACGUUCCACGUGUGGGAUUUUGUAUGUACCAUAUGAAUAAGGAUCGGCAAACUCCGUGCCAGCAGCCGCGGUAAUACGGAGGAUCCGAGCGUUAUCCGGAUUUAUUGGGUUUAAAGGGAGCGUAGGUGGAUUGUUAAGUCAGUUGUGAAAGUUUGCGGCUCAACCGUAAAAUUGCAGUUGAAACUGGCAGUCUUGAGUACAGUAGAGGUGGGCGGAAUUCGUGGUGUAGCGGUGAAAUGCUUAGAUAUCACGAAGAACUCCGAUUGCGAAGGCAGUUCACUGGACUGCAACUGACACUGAGGCUCGAAAGUGUGGGUAUCAAACAGGAUUAGAUACCCCAGUAGUC
RNAcentral lists this ribosomal RNA (460 nucleotides) under uncultured bacterium. RNAcentral describes it as "partial 16S ribosomal RNA". It matches the Rfam family "Bacterial small subunit ribosomal RNA", at positions 338 to 795 of the family's 1533-position model. The record is from RNAcentral.